Molecule: ribosomal RNA, 686 nt
Filed under: Poupartiopsis spondiocarpus
Lineage: Eukaryota; Viridiplantae; Streptophyta; Magnoliopsida; Sapindales; Anacardiaceae
Description: eukaryotic LSU rRNA
Rfam family: 5.8S ribosomal RNA (bases 287-442)
Source: RNAcentral
GUUUCCGUAGGUGAACCUGCGGAAGGAUCAUUGUCGAAACCUGCCCAGCAGAACGACCCGUGAACCCGUUAUCAAACCUCGGGGGCGCUCGGGCCUCGGUGCCGGGGCGCUCCCGCCCGUCUCAUGGGCGUUGGCCGUGCGCUUCGGCGCGCGUCCUCGCCCGUGCGGCGCAACAACGAACCCCGGCGCGGACUGCGCCAAGGAAAACUGUACGAGAGAGCUCGCCCCCGUCGCCCCGGACACGGUGCGCGCGCGGGGUGCGUGGCCUUCUUUAUUUGAACAAAACGACUCUCGGCAACGGAUAUCUCGGCUCUCGCAUCGAUGAAGAACGUAGCGAAAUGCGAUACUUGGUGUGAAUUGCAGAAUCCCGUGAACCAUCGAGUCUUUGAACGCAAGUUGCGCCCCAAGCCGUUAGGCCGAGGGCACGUCUGCCUGGGUGUCACGCAUCGUUGCCCCCCGCAAUACGCGCAGGCUGAACGCUUGUCGUUGCGGUGGGCGUACAUUGGCCUCCCGUGCGCUCCCGCUCGCGGUUGGCCCAAAAUUCGAGUUCUCGGAGACGCGUCCCGCGACUGUCGGUGGUGUUCGUAAAAGAGCCUCGAGAUCCUGUCGUGCGGCCGCGUCCCUCCCCCGGGAAGAGACUCUGUGACCCUGAAGGAGCUUACGCUCGCAUCGCGACCCCAGGUCAG